This 497-nucleotide ribosomal RNA is filed under the name uncultured bacterium. RNAcentral's name for it is "partial 16S ribosomal RNA". It matches the Rfam family "Bacterial small subunit ribosomal RNA", at positions 28 to 507 of the family's 1533-position model. The record is from RNAcentral.
GAUGAACGCUGGCGGCGUGCCUAAUACAUGCAAGUCGAGCGAACGGACGAGAAGCUUGCUUCUCUGAUGUUAGCGGCGGACGGGUGAGUAACACGUGGAUAACCGACCUAUAAGACUGGGAUAACUUCGGGAAACCGGAGCUAAUACCGGAUGAUAUUUUGAACCGCAUGGUUCAAAAGUGAAAGACGGUCUUGCUGUCACUUAUAGAUGGAUCCGCGCUGCAUUAGCUAGUUGGUAAGGUAACGGCUUACCAAGGCAACGAUGCAUAGCCGACCUGAGAGGGUGAUCGGCCACACUGGAACUGAGACACGGUCCAGACUCCUACGGGAGGCAGCAGUAGGGAAUCUUCCGCAAUGGGCGAAAGCCUGACGGAGCAACGCCGCGUGAGUGAUGAAGGUCUUCGGAUCGUAAAACUCUGUUAUUAGGGAAGAACAUAUGUGUAAGUAACUGUGCACAUCUUGACGGUACCUAAUCAGAAAGCCACGGCUAACUACGUG